This 1584-nucleotide long non-coding RNA is filed under the name Brassica rapa (field mustard). Its description in RNAcentral is "long non-coding RNA (BRAP_LNC005089)". The record is from RNAcentral. Lineage: Eukaryota; Viridiplantae; Streptophyta; Magnoliopsida; Brassicales; Brassicaceae.
UUCGGGUCGGAUUCAGAUAUUUUUAGUUCGAGUUUGGUUAUUUCGGAUCGGGUGCUCCUUGUGGAAAGGAUCUCAUACCCUUUGAGUCUUCCCUUGCUAUAUCUCAUUGGAAUUCUAGUUCUAUAUCCAGAUUUUAUGAUUUCAAGUGAAGCUUGUUCAUGGGUCUGCUCUCUCAUUUACCAUUUCUAUAUAUCACUAUGUUUAUCUCAAUCCAUUACACCUAAACCUGAUAUAAAUAUUUGGUGUUCCAAAAAUAUACAAAAGGUGAGAAUAAAACAAGGUAAAAUCUAUUUGAGUUUUUUGGUUUACAUAUGUAAUCAAAUCCAAUUACCAUGUAUCACUAUAUUUGCCUCCACGAGCUGAAAUCAAUAAAUUCAAUGAGAAACUAGAUUUUGACCCGCGUUUUCAAUUAAUUUUGAUUUUUUUUUUGUUUUUUUAUAAUUUUUAUUUGUAAUUAAUAUAAAUAUAAUAGAAUAGAUAUUUUUUGGUAACUCUAUUAAAUAUGUCAAGUUGCAUAACUAUACACUUGUGCCAUAUGCAUUUUAAAAAUUAUUUUAAAUUUUUUUUUCUAAAGUUUGCAACAUAUUAUAUUUUCUUAGUAAUUACUUAGCAUAAUUAGUCAAGAAUAUUCGUACAAAAAAAAUCUGACUCGAAAUCGACCCGAAGUCAAAAUCACAUGCUCUAUUAUACGUGGCCUAUAUACUCGUACGAUUCCUAAAUUGUUAUCUCCAGAAACCAAUAUCAGACCGAACCCGCACAUAAACCGAAAACAAUUUUUAAAAAUGUUUGAAAAAAUUAAUUAUUAAUAUCUGAUAAGUUAAUUAUAAAACCCAAGACAUGAAACCAAAGAACUAAAUAGCUAGAACUAGGGGUCGGCGUUCGGGUACCCAUUCGGGUUCGGGUCGGGGUAUUUUAGAUUUUCGGGUAUUUUGGUAUAGAGGUAUAGAACCCGUUCGGGUAUUUCUGUACUUUGGGUCGGGUUCGGGUAUUUUUAUUUCGAGUUUGGUUAUUUCUGAUCGGGUGCUCCUUGUGGAAAGGAUCUCAUACCCUUUGAGUCUUCCCUUGCUAUAUCUCAUUGGAAUUUUAGUUCUAUAUCCAGAUUUUAUGAUUUCAAGUGAAGCUUGUUCACGGGUCUGCUCUCUCAUUUACCAUUUCUAUAUAUCACUAUGUUUAUCUCAAUCCAUUACACCUAAACCUGAUAUAAAUAUUUGGUGUUCCAAAAAUAUCCAAAAGGUGAGAAUAAAACAAGGUAAAAUCUAUUUGAGUUUUUUGGUUUACAUAUGUAAUCAAAUCCAAUUACCACGUAUCACUAUAUUUGCCUCCACGAGCUGAAACCAAUAAAUUCAAUGAGAACUAGAUUUUGAUCCGUCCUUUCAAUUAAUUUUGAUUUGUUUUUUAUUUUUUUUGUAAUUUUUUUUUGUAAUUAAUAUAAAUUUAAUAGAAUAGAUAAUUUUUGGUAACUUUAUUAAAUAUGUCGAGUUGCAUAACUAUACACUUGUGCCAUAUGCAUUUCAGAAAUUAUUUUUAAACUUUUUUUUCUAAAGUUUGCAACAUAUUAUAUUUUCUUAGUAAUUACCAAGCAUA